RNAcentral lists this ribosomal RNA (497 nucleotides) under uncultured bacterium. RNAcentral describes it as "partial 16S ribosomal RNA". It matches the Rfam family "Bacterial small subunit ribosomal RNA", at positions 28 to 507 of the family's 1533-position model. The record is from RNAcentral.
GAUGAACGCUGGCGGCGUGCCUAAUACAUGCAAGUCGAGCGAACAGACGAGGAGCUUGCUCCUCUGACGUUAGCGGCGGACGGGUGAGUAACACGUGGAUAACCUACCUAUAAGACUGGGAUAACUUCGGGAAACCGGAGCUAAUACCGGAUAAUAUAUUGAACCGCAUGGUUCAAUAGUGAAAGACGGUUUUGCUGUCACUUAUAGAUGGAUCCGCGCCGCAUUAGCUAGUUGGUAAGGUAACGGCUUACCAAGGCAACGAUGCGUAGCCGACCUGAGAGGGUGAUCGGCCACACUGGAACUGAGACAUGGUCCAGACUCCUACGGGAGGCAGCAGUAGGGAAUCUUCCGCAAUGGGCGAAAGCCUGACGGAGCAACGCCGCGUGAGUGAUGAAGGUCUUCGGAUCGUAAAACUCUGUUAUUAGGGAAGAACAAAUGUGUAAGUAACUAUGCACGUCUUGACGGUACCUAGUCAGAAAGCCACGGCUAACUACGUG